Molecule: ribosomal RNA, 492 nt
Filed under: uncultured bacterium
Lineage: Bacteria
Description: partial 16S ribosomal RNA
Rfam family: Bacterial small subunit ribosomal RNA
Source: RNAcentral
AGUGAACGCUGGCGGCAUGCUUUACACAUGCAAGUCGAACGGUAACACACUUUGAGGUGCCGCCGAGGGGCGGAGGGGUGCGUACGGCAGCGGAAUGCACCCGGAGGUAGUGUUUAACGCAGCGUAAGCUGGGCUAAUAUCGCAUGAUACCUCAGAAUAACAACGGGGGAACGAGCAGGAACGUUUGGCCUCGCGCCAUUGAAUCAGCCGAUGUCGGAUUAGCUAGUUGGUGGGGUAAAGGCCCACCAAGGCGACGAUCCGUAGCUGGUCUGAGAGGAUGAUCAGCCACACUGGAACUGAGACACGGCCCAGACUCCUACGGGAGGCAGCAGUGGGGAAUAUUGGACAAUGGGCGCAAGCCUGAUCCAGCAAUGCCGCGUGCGUGAAGAAGGCCUUCGGGUUGUAAACCGCUUUUGGUAGGAAAGAAAAGCUGUAGGCUAAUACCGGGCUGUACUGACGGUACCUAAAGAAUAAGCACCGGCUAACUUCGUG